RNAcentral lists this non-coding RNA (81 nucleotides) under Legionella nautarum. Its description in RNAcentral is "Legionella RNA 69". It matches the Rfam family "Legionella RNA 69". The record is from Rfam by way of RNAcentral. Lineage: Bacteria; Pseudomonadati; Pseudomonadota; Gammaproteobacteria; Legionellales; Legionellaceae.
AGAGGCCGCUUUUGCGGCUCCUCAGGACGAACUGAUCGAGCUAAGGACUGGAUUGCUAAUCUUUCUUAUACGAAACUGCCG